This 510-nucleotide ribosomal RNA is filed under the name uncultured Acidobacteriota bacterium. RNAcentral's name for it is "bacterial SSU rRNA". It matches the Rfam family "Bacterial small subunit ribosomal RNA", at positions 355 to 857 of the family's 1533-position model. Lineage: Bacteria; Pseudomonadati; Acidobacteriota. The record is from RNAcentral.
UGGGGAAUAUUGGACAAUGGGCGCAAGCCUGAUCCAGCAAUGCCGCGUGAAGGAUGAAAUCCCUCGGGAUGUAAACUUCGCAAGAACGGGGAGAAUAAGCCGGUGUGAACAUCACCGGCGAUGACGGUACCGUUUGUAAGCUCCGGCUAACUCCGUGCCAGCAGCCGCGGUAAUACGGGGGGAGCAAGCGUUGUUCGGAUUUACUGGGCGUAAAGGGCGCGUAGGCGGCCACCGCAAGUCAAUUGUGAAAUCUCCGGGCUUAACUCGGAAAGGUCAACUGAUACUGCGGGGCUAGAGUGCGGAAGGGGCAACUGGAAUUCUCGGUGUAGCGGUGAAAUGCGUAGAUAUCGAGAGGAACACCUGCGGCGAAGGCGGGUUGCGUGGGCCGACACUGACGCUGAGGCGCGAAAGCUAGGGGAGCGAACGGGAUUAGAUACCCCGGUAGUCCUAGCCUUAAACGAUGAAUGCUUGGUGUCUGGGGUUACAAGUCCCCGGGUGCCGUCGCUAACG